Molecule: ribosomal RNA, 1912 nt
Filed under: Candidatus Hakubella thermalkaliphila
Lineage: Bacteria; Bacillati; Actinomycetota; Candidatus Hakubellales; Candidatus Hakubellaceae
Description: Candidatus Hakubanella thermoalkaliphilus partial 23S ribosomal RNA (partial)
Rfam family: Bacterial large subunit ribosomal RNA
Source: RNAcentral
UUAAGCGACUAAGCGUACACGGUGGAUGCCCUGGCAGUCAGAGGCGAUGAAGGACGUGCUAAUCUGCGAUAAGCGUCGGUAAGGUGAUAUGAACCGUUAUAACCGGCGAUUUCCGAAUGGGGAAACCCAGUGUGUUUCGACACACUAUCAUUAACUGAAUCCAUAGGUUAAUGAGGCGAACCGGGGGAACUGAAACAUCUAAGUACCCCGAGGAAAAGAAAUCAACCGAGAUUCCCCCAGUAGCGGCGAGAGAACGGGGAGCAGCCCAGAGCCUGAAUCAGUGUGUGUGUUAGUGGAAGCGUCUGGAAAGGCGCGCGAUACAGGGUGACAGCCCCGUACACAAAAAUGCACAUGCUGUGAGCUCGAUGAGUAGGGCGGGACACGUGGUAUCCUGUCUGAAUAUGGGGGGACCAUCCUCCAAGGCUAAAUACUCCUGACUGACCGAUAGUGAACCAGUACCGUGAGGGAAAGGCGAAAAGAACCCCGGCGAGGGGAGUGAAAAAGAACCUGAAACCGUGUACGUACAAGCAGUGGGAGCACGCUUAGGCGUGUGACUGCGUACCUUUUGUAUAAUGGGUCAGCGACUUAUAUUCUGUAGCAAGGUUAACCGAAUAGGGGAGCCGAAGGGAAACCGAGUCUUAACUGGGCGUUAAGUUGCAGGGUAUAGACCCGAAACCCGGUGAUCUAGCCAUGGGCAGGUUGAAGGUUGGGUAACACUAACUGGAGGACCGAACCGACUAAUGUUGAAAAAUUAGCGGAUGACUUGUGGCUGGGGGUGAAAGGCCAAUCAAACCGGGAGAUAGCUGGUUCUUCCCGAAAGCUAUUUAGGUAGCGCCUCGUGAAUUCAUCUCCGGGGGUAGAGCACUGUUUCGGCAAGGGGGUCAUCCCGACUUACCAACCCGAUGCAAACUGCGAAUACCGGAGAAUGUUAUCACGGGAGACACACGGCGGGUGCUAACGUCCGUCGUGAAGAGGGAAACAACCCAGACCGCCAGCUAAGGUCCCAAAGUCAUGGUUAAGUGGGAAACGAUGUGGGAAGGCCCAGACAGCCAGGAUGUUGGCUUAGAAGCAGCCAUCAUUUAAAGAAAGCGUAAUAGCUCACUGGUCGAGUCGGCCUGCGCGGAAGAUGUAACGGGGCUAAACCAUGCACCGAAGCUGCGGCAGCGACGCUUAUGUGUUGUUGGGUAGGGGAGCGUUCUGUAAGCCUGUGAAGGUGUGCUGUGAGGCAUGCUGGAGGUAUCAGAAGUGCGAAUGCUGACAUAAGUAACGAUAAAGCGGGUGAAAAGCCCGCUCGCCGGAAGACCAAGGGUUCCUGUCCAACGUUAAUCGGGGCAGGGUGAGUCGACCCCUAAGGCGAGGCCGAAAGGCGUAGUCGAUGGGAAACAGGUUAAUAUUCCUGUACUUGGUGUUACUGCGAAGGGGGGACGGAGAAGGCUAUGUUGGCCGGGCGACGGUUGUCCCGGUUUAAGCGUGUAGGCUGGUUUUCCAGGCAAAUCCGGAAAAUCAAGGCUGAGGCGUGAUGACGAGGCACUACGGUGCUGAAGCAACAAAUGCCCUGCUUCCAGGAAAAGCCUCUAAGCAUCAGGUAACAUCAAAUCGUACCCCAAACCGACACAGGUGGUCAGGUAGAGAAUACCAAGGCGCUUGAGAGAACUCGGGUGAAGGAACUAGGCAAAAUGGUGCCGUAACUUCGGGAGAAGGCACGCUGAUAUGUAGGUGAAGCGACUUGCUCGUGGAGCUGAAAUCAGUCGAAGAUACCAGCUGGCUGCAACUGUUUAUUAAAAACACAGCACUGUGCAAACACGAAAGUGGACGUAUACGGUGUGACGCCUGCCCGGUGCCGGAAGGUUAAUUGAUGGGGUUAGCGCAAGCGAAGCUCUUGAUCGAAGCCCCGGUAAACGGCGGCCGUAAC